AUUUUGACAUUUUCUCUACCGAGUUAUAAAUGCCAGUCCUGUUCACCUCAUUUGCUUUCCUCUUACUGCUUUUCUCUCUCUCUCUCUCUCUUGGUUUCCUCCAUUGCAAACCAAGCUUUAUUUCUGGCUAUCACAGGUCACUCUCUCGUCCACAAGGACGAAAACCCACCAAGGCGCCAACCAAUUCAACAACGCUGCCUGUGGCCCUCUAAAAUUCUAGAAAGAAACGGAAAUUUUCCUUUGCGGCAUCCAUUGUGUAGAUAUUGCGUUUUGUCUGGGCUUGUUGUAUGCUUAUUCGUUUUCAAUUUUCAUUUCUCUUUGGCCCACUUCUGGAAUUUGGACAGAACCCCAGCUUCUAAACUACUCUUCUACAAAUAUUAUUUCUGGGGUUCUGGGUUUCUGUGGAUUGUGUUAUUUCUGGUUGACAUUGGCCUAUCUAUGCCUUCUGAGACUCUAUUUCUAAACUUGAAAAGAAGGCAAUUUUCUUGCUUCUGUAGGUGUUUCAGAGAAGAAGAUAAGAGGGGGUUGGAUCACCAGGAGUGGUGGGGAUGGACUGAUUUUGCAGUCCACGAGAUUAAGUCGGCAGAUUGCAAGUGCUGCUAAUAGGAAGGAUUGCUCCUUGUAUUUACCAAGAACCAGAAAUGUCAUCCAAUGAGUCUCUAAAUGCUGAGUUGUCUAAAAAGACAUCAUUUCUGGGUCUGAAGCUAUGGGUUUUGAUUGGUAUUUGUGUUGGUGUUUUCAUUGUUUUGAUCCUUUCUAUUUUGUCUUUAUGGGUCACAUCUCGAAGGAAAACAAGGAGGACCUUGGACAAGUAUUCCCUUUUCCAAAUACCCACCGUCUCAAAGGAAAUCAAAGUGGAUAGAGUUGGACUCAACAAUUUUAAUGAUCAUUGUGAAGGUGUUUACCUGACGGUGCAUGACAAAUCUAGUGACAAGGAUUCAGAGAAGAUGUUUGUUCAUUUGGGAAGGAGCAAAUCAAGUGAGGCAGAUAACCUCAGCCAGUGCAGUUCAAUUUAUCAGCUGGAGCGAGGCUGUAGCUCUCAGUCAGGAGAAGAAGGAAGCUCUGGAAAUUUUCGCAGGCAGUCCUCAUUGUAUGGACUCACAUCAGCAUCUCCUUUAAUUGGUCUACCUGAAGUUUCACAUCUUGGGUGGGGUCACUGGUUUACACUCAGGGAUCUUGAGUAUGCAACAAAUCGUUUCUCGGCAGAGAAUGUGCUUGGAGAAGGUGGGUAUGGUGUUGUUUAUAGGGGUCGGCUGAUCAAUGGAACUGAGGUAGCAGUAAAGAGAAUUCUCAAUAAUCUGGGGCAGGCAGAGAAGGAAUUUAGAGUUGAAGUGGAAGCUAUAGGUCAUGUUCGACAUAAGAACCUUGUACGGCUUUUGGGCUAUUGUGUAGAGGGAGUUCACAGGAUGCUGGUGUAUGAGUACGUGAACAAUGGCAACUUAGAGCAGUGGCUUCAUGGAGCUAUGUGUCAACAGGGUUCCCUUAGUUGGGAAGCCCGCAUGAAAGUCAUCCUUGGAACGGCCAAGGCUCUUUCCUAUUUGCAUGAGGCAAUAGAACCGAAAGUUGUUCAUCGUGACAUAAAGUCAAGCAAUAUCUUGAUUGAUGAAGAAUUUAAUGCAAAGGUUUCUGAUUUUGGUUUGGCCAAACUCUUGGGAUCAGGAACAAGUCACAUCACCACCAGAGUAAUGGGAACAUUUGGGUAUGUAGCUCCUGAAUAUGCAAAUACUGGCUUUCUGAAUGAGAAGAGUGAUGUAUACAGUUUUGGUGUCCUCCUGCUAGAAACAGUUACAGGCAGGGAACCUGUGGACCAUGGUCGGCCUGAAAAUGAGGUUAAUCUUGUUGAGUGGCUAAAGAUGAUGGUAGGUACUAAGAGAGUUGAGGAAGUUGUGGAUCCAAACCUUGAAGUUAGACCAACUACUCGGGCUCUUAAACGUGCCCUUCUGAUUGCACUGAGAUGUGUUGAUCCUGACUCUGAGAAAAGACCAAAAAUGGGUCAGGUUGUUCGAAUGCUCGAAACAGAUGAACACCCAUUCCGUGAGGACCGUAGGAACAGGAAGAGUCAAACAACCAGCAUGGAACUUGAAUCCUUGAAGGAGAACUCUGGCUCCAUUGACAUGGAAAAUAAUGUUGAGACAUCAGACAGUAAUACAUCUGAGAAAUUUCAUGGCUAGGAUUGAUGAUUGCAACAUAACCCAGUUGAAUAGCCUCUUGACCAUUCAAAUUGUAGGUCUUUCUUGUAAACUCAAAAGAUAACAGUGCAGAGUGUUGUCCAUAAAAGAAUUGCUAAUGGGGUUAAUAGAGCAACCAGAUUGAGGAGUACCCGUCUGGGUUAUUGGAGUGCUAUCUCUCGGCUGUUGUGUCACUACCAAUUUCUAGAUGCCAUAAUUAUGACAGGAUGCAAAGAGGCGCCUUCAACUUUGAGGUUUCUUGCAGUAACCUAAAGAAAAAAGAAAAGAAACAAGGAGAAGAAAAAGAAGAAAAUUUCUUUUUGUACAGAUAUGAUUCAUGGUUCCAUUGGGCUUCCCUUCUUUUAUACAUGCUUUCCUUCAUCUUGGGCUGUAAUGGGUUGCUUUCUUUCGCAGUUGAAUGAUGCUUCUCCCAUUGUUUCUCUUUAUCUUUUCUUGCCUUUUUCUUCUAUCAAGCUUGGAGAUGGAUUGCUUUCUGUUUUCCUUUGCUUCAUCUUGGGUGAUGAAGAGAGAAUAAUCCUAUGAAGUCUGUAGUACACCUCCGUGCAGUCAAAUUGACCUUCAUCAUUCAAUUUGGCUCCUUCUGUGAAGGCUAAGGGGGUUCAUCAUUGCAUCAUUUGACCGACCUAAUUAUCCUACCUGCUGCUCUAUCUGUGGUUACUGGAUAGUGAUGGCACUAACAUCUGCUUGGAACAGGUCCUUGAUCAGAUGUGUUAAGUGCAGUUCCAGGUUGUUGAAAGUUGAAUCCUUCCAAGUCGACGGAUCCCAUCUCACUGGGCCAUAUCUUUGUAAACUCCCAUGUGAGUCCUGCUGGGCAUUUGCAUUUCAUAUUUCUUCUGCAAUUUUGAAUAGAAGAGUUUGAGUUUGAGACUGAGGAAAAUCAUGUGCCCUUUGACCCACCCCACUUUCUGAAUUGAAGAGUGUCUGUGUGGUAAUCCAAUGGAAGAGUUGACAACUUGACUCUUUAACGCUCACCCUUAGAAGUAGCCACUAAGAAGAAACCUCUAGACUUUGAGAUGAUCAAGACUGCCCUUCAUGAUGACCUUGAAGCUGAUGUUCUAAGACAAUUUGGGUGGUGAUUUGGGCACCUCCUAUUUUGACAAACAGGUUUUAUUAGCCAUCAUUGAGUUUGAUUUGAGCUUCCCCAAUUAAAGACCCAAGCUUUGUCUG
Nelumbo nucifera (sacred lotus) is the source of this 3356-nucleotide non-coding RNA. The record is from RefSeq and is a predicted model, not a curated record. NCBI's taxonomy places the organism in Eukaryota, Viridiplantae, Streptophyta, Magnoliopsida, Proteales, Nelumbonaceae.